UGAAAUUUCGACCUAGGACAAAACAACAAAACUACACAUCCCAGAAACACUAAACUUGGCAGCACAACCCCUCAUCCAUGCCUCUAUGUUCAUACAACAAAAAGAAAAGACAAAUAAAGUCCUAAUUAGAGGGAGAGGAAUAAUUGUUUUUAUCCAAUUGCUGCCAGUUAGAAGGCUAAGCUCCGCCCACUUGGUCUCCUAGCAACCCACUCAGCCCAGGGGACAGGCAGAGUUAGGCCUCGCUUUGGCCUCUUCCACACUGCUUAUAAAAUACAGAUUAUAUGAUUUUAACUGGAUUAUAUGGCAGUGUAGACCUUCCACACAGCUAUAUAACCCAUUUAUAAUGGACUUAAUGUCAGGGGAAAACCUUUACCCUUUACCUUAACUACCACCAAUUCCUCAAUACUUUAUUUCCCAUACCACCAUACUUCGCCACAGCAACGCGUGGCCGGGCACAGUUAGUAGUGUUAUAAAAUACCAGGACCGACCUCAUGCCUCAUGAAAUCUGUAUAUAUACCAGUCCUUUGGUAUCUGCUGGGAUAUGGUUACAAUCAAGUUCCUCCUCAUGACUUCUCUGGAGUAGAACAAGAGCUGGGAUGGAGGUCCAAGCAAAGAGGAGGCCAAAUGAAAUCUUGGUCCUACAAACAAGAGUUCUGGCACAUCCCAAUAUAGUGUUUCCUAUAUUCUCAAAUGUCUAACGUUUCAGCAGGUAGGACCUACUUCAAGAUAUAUAAACCAAAGAAGGAGGCAAUGGGGCCAACAUAACAAAUAGAAAAUUGCCUAGAGCAAUUUCCAAUGUCCCACUCUCUUGAGGUCAACACUGAGGUCAUAAACGGUUGGAUCCAUGGAGAUCGAAUCCAUGCCUGCAUCAAACAUACCUCAAUCCAUACAAAUUUUUGUAUGAAUUACUAAGGAAGCCCCAAGAAUUCCAAUACCAUGACGUGCAACAGGGCUAUAGUCAAUAUUGACCAGAGCUAUGGUUAAGGCUUUCUCAUUGUACGGCCGAAAUUGCUUGAAUAUUUGUGGAACACCAGAGAAAGCUGACAUCUCAGCAGAUUCCUCAAACCAACUUUUUCUCCAGGCAGGUGAGCAAAACUAUAAUCAUACAUGUGCCAGUCAGAAGAUAAUCUGUUUUUUCCACAUCAGAGUCAGAAGAACGAGUUUCCCAAUUUGCCAGCAGCUAACUGCCUCAAAAGGGAGAUUCCAUGAAAUGAUAAGUUGGAGAGGAAAUUCUUUCGGGAUUGGAUAUUGUUUUCCUGGGUACCACUGGCAUCAUGGGAAGACUUGGAAAUGGUAUAUAAGGCCUUGAGUCCCAAUGAAUCCUCACAACCCACUGGCCGCAGUAGUGUGUCCUCCAAACCAACAACGGUUCAUAAGUUCUUCCUUUCCUCCCAGAAGUAAGAAGAUGUCUUUUUUCCCCGAAUCUGUGGAGGUGUUCCAGCCAAUCCUGCUCGAUGGGGGCAACCUCGUCUUGGUCAAGCAAACGCCCGACUGCGGGCCACUGAAAUCUUCAUACCCCUUGAGGUCCCUUGGCAGCCCUUCAAAAUACAUCAGCCACUGUCCCUGCCCUUGUCCAUGUCCCCCUUCUUGCUUGAGCCCGUGCCGUCCUAGAUGCCUGCCUAACUGCGGACCCUGCUAUGGGAGACCACAGUGCUUGAGCCCCUGCCGACCUAUAUGCUCAUCUCCAUGCCGCCCGAUCUGUCCGUACCCCUGCCAACCUUCAUGUGUGUCUCCUUGCUAUCCAUGCUAUCAGAGGCCACAAUUCCGUCCAAUUUGUGUGAAUCCAUGCCAGUCCCCAUGCUCAGUCUCAUGCCCAUACCCAUACUCACCUCUGUGCCCACCCUCAUGCAUUCCAAACUGCUAUCCUCAAUGCCAGUACCCGAGAUCCUCCAUCUGUGUCCAGCCGGCCUGCGUCUACCCUCUGGGUCAAGUCUCUUGCUCUCCAAUCUGUGGGUAUCCAUGCUCCCCUCGGGGGUGUUAUCCUUAUGAAAAUUUUGAGGUCUAUUACUUAGGAUAAGAGCCAACAAAAUUCCUCCUAUUCUAUUCGCUUAUGGUUUCCCGGGUCCACUCUCCUGUAGGUUCUGCUUUGGUCUGUCUUCCAGUUUCACCUGGAAGUCUAAGUUCUAGAUUUAGGUUUCAACCAUGGAUUUCAUUCCAGCGAUGGCACAUUGUUGCCAUAGUUUUGAGUUCAGGGUUUGACUCCUACUUCUAGUCAGGUAACUAUAAUGAUGAGAGCACUGCCUCCCAAUUGACAUUUUGAUCUCCCCCCCCCCCCAAAAAAAACUUCCCUUCAGUCCCCAAAUUUUUAUCAUUGCCACAACCUGCUGCAAUGUUAGAAAUUUGGGGCAUGAAGGACAAUUUUAUUUGAAGGAUAUCCUCCUUUUGCCUCCACUUGGUAGGUAACACCCCUGUUUUCAGCUGCAACUAGAAUCGAGCCAUUAAAUUGAGCCAUAUUGGGAAAAAUAGGGCAUAAAUCAAAUAGUUUAACCCUGUACCCACGGGAUUUAUUUAGGGGUCAACAAUUGAAUCAAUGGGUUGACUCCAGUUGCAGCUAGCCCAUCAGAGUCAGACCUCUUUCCCCUCCUUAAAACCUACCAAUAUACUACAAUAUAUAUGUCAUUAUUCAAUGCAAAACCGAGAAAGGAAAAGUAGGCUGCCUAUUUUUUUAUGGUGUUGGCAUAACUGCAUUAGCAUAGACCAUAGAAGCAGAAGAUAUGGAUGGCAUGGAGGAAAUCAGUGAUGUGAGCAAAAAGCUAACAUGUUUCAUCCUCUUGUCCCAAAAUAAUGCAAUUGCUAUUGUAGUGUGCCAACAAUAUUCUGACCCUAGAUGGUGGAGGUAUCCAGAUACCUCCACUAUCCCAUGAUGUGGAGUGGUCAACUUUCCCACCAACUCCAUUGAUCUUCUGGGCUUCUCCCAUUGCUCUGGAAUAGCCACACGACCCACAAUAUCUGGUUCUGAGGAGACCUCAGAUGGUGGGCCUGGAGGUCAUUUGUUGUAUAGAGACCAGCGGAUUUGGGCUGCCAGUUGGGUAGCAAAUUGGACUAGAAUCCUGAGAGACCAGAUUACGAACCCUUGCUCUGCCAUGGAAACCCACCAAGUGACCUUGGGCAACCAGAAGAAGACCACCUCUGAUGAAUUCCAAGAAAAUCCUGAGAAAGUCGGCAAGACUCAGCAUACAUUGGAGCCAACCAGAAGCCCCAUAGCAACAACUACAACUUCCCCAAGAAGAAAGAAUGGCAACUCUCAGCAGCCAAGGAAGUAUAGAAGCAAGGAAGGAAACAGCAAGGAAGGAAGGAGUGUUGGGGAAGGAUAAGAAGAAGAGGAGCGAUGAGGAAGAGGAGGCAGGAUGUGUAGAAACUCCAUUCUGAGUCUGGAGUUCAAGAGGGUCUUCAGAAGUGAGCAAAGGAAGGGGAAGAAUGUAAUGCAAAGGGCAGUGAUUGUGUAUGUACAUUAUAUACAUGGCUAGAGUACACCCAUUGAGGCAAUGUUCAAUGAUGAAUCAAGAUAUAGGUAAAUCAUAUUGAUUCAAUGGGUCUACUCCACUCAAGCCUUUCUAAUUCAGCUGUUCCAUGUGUUUAAGGCAUUUCUGUUGGAGCUCUAUGAGGCCUUGUGUUGGUCAGAUGUGAUUGCAUGAAUCAAAAAUGUAUGUGCUCUGAAUGUUUGCUAACUUUCUCAGGUGUGAAGCAUGCCUAGUUUUGGAAUCUCAAUACCAAACCAUCCUCUUCAGUUUAAAAACAAAAUAAGUCAUUAUUUCAUUUCAGCUCAAAGUCCAAAGCCUGGAAUUCACAGAUCUGGUGGCUCUCCACCACUCACAUGGUAGCUUUUGGUCAUAAGAUGCUCUUGGACGACCAUUUAGAAAGGUGGUCUCAUGAUGGGACAGACACUAGUCCAACACAGUCUCCACUUUAUUCUGACUCAAAGUCAACGGGUAUCUCAAGAAUCAGGAAAAUGUUGUGAGAUGUGAUUAAUAGUAACUGACCCAGAUCCUUGGACAAUGUUGACUCCAUCGGUGGCCUCCUUGCAAACCAUAACCUGAUUGAUGUGAAUUAACAUCAGAAUAUUUUUCUCCAUAUAUUUUUUGCUGGUGAAGGGUUGAAUAUUUCCUCUGUUAAAGCAAUGAGUUUCAUUAUUUUGUCAAUUCUGGCCAACUGUAGACUGGAUUUCUUGACAUAUUUAGCUUGACUUAAAAUGAUUCUAGAUAUCUUAUUCUGUCUAAGAAAGACAAGCUACGCUUGUAGAUGCUUUGCUAGAGCAACUGAUGUGUGAUUCUCUGGUGAUGAAUAUUUCCUGACUCCUUGUUAUGACUACGAAAAUGAUUGGUAGAGUAAUAUCUGGAAAUACAUUGUUCACCAUUAUCUUUGCAUCAAUAAAACACGUGCUUCUCAGCA
Molecule: long non-coding RNA, 4389 nt
Organism: Anolis carolinensis (green anole)
Lineage: Eukaryota; Metazoa; Chordata; Lepidosauria; Squamata; Anolidae
Exons: 2
Source: RefSeq, a predicted model, not a curated record